RNAcentral lists this ribosomal RNA (322 nucleotides) under uncultured eukaryote. RNAcentral describes it as "partial 18S ribosomal RNA". It matches the Rfam family "Eukaryotic small subunit ribosomal RNA", at positions 1470 to 1796 of the family's 1831-position model. The record is from RNAcentral.
CCCUUAGAUGUUCUGGGCCGCACGCGUGCUACACUGAGUAAUUCAAUGGGUAAGGGAACGCUAGAGCAUUACCUAAUCUUGAAAUUUGCUCGUGAUGGGGAUCGACGGUUGCAAUUUUCCGUCGUGAACGAGGAAUACCUUGUAGGCGCAUGUCAUCAUCAUGCGCCGAAUACGUCCCUGCCCUUUGUACACACCGCCCGUCGCUCCUACCGAUUGAGUGAUCCGGUGAGGCUCUGGGACCUGGACGGAAAGAGCGUUUCGCUUGUCCUGUUUGGGAAACUUGGUCGAACCUUAUCAUUUAGAGGAAGGAGAAGUCGUAACA